CCUCAACAACUCUGCUACCCUCCCCCCUCAACAACUCUGCUACCCCCCCCCCUCAACAACUCUGCUACCCUCCCCCUCAACAACUCUGCUACCCUCCCCCCUCAACAACUCUGCUACCCUCCCCCCUCAACAACUCUGCUACCCGCCCCCCCUCAACAACUCUGCUACCCUCCCCCUCAACAACUCUGCUACCCUCCCCCCUCAACAACUCUGCUACCCCCCCCCCCCACAACAACUCUGCUACCCUCCCCACUCAGUACUGCCGUGUCAGGGCCAACGUGGCACAUCCUUCCCCGUUCACCCUGACCCCUGCGUUGUGCCGUGGCACGUCCUUCCCCGUUCACCCCUGACCCCUGCGUUGUGACGUGGCACGUCCUUCCCCGUUCACCCCUGACCCCUGCGUUGUGACGUGGCACGUGACCCCCUUCCCGUUCACCCCUGACCCCUGCGUUGUGACGUGGCACGUCCCCUUCCCCGUUCACCCCUGACCCCUGCGUUGUGACGUGGCACGUCCUUCCCCGUUCACCCCUGACCCUUGCGUUGUGAUGUCAUCUGACCAGUAGUGGCAAACACAACUUAACUGGAACGAACAUCUCUAAGGAUUUUAUAAAUUUUGGAAAACAGAAAUCCAGGAAACAACUGUAAAAUCUCACUUGGAUUGUAUUUGGGGGGGGCUGUGAAUAAAGAGGAACUCUUGACUACCCCUGACUGUAACAUACCCUGGGAGGGGGGCAGACUGACUGACCGGGACCCCCAGGGUUGGUAUUUUAACAGGUGUUUAAACAUGACUCGAGUUUUCAAUUUGAUUUUCCAUUUAAUUUUAUUUUGGGAUGGACUUGUGUGUGCGCCGGGCCACAACCUUUAGGAACAUUCUGUCUUCUUCCGUCUGCUUUAUAAACUCCAGUGUGUCGACAGGUGGAGUCGGUCUGGUAGAGCUGUCAUGGGAACACUGAGUGUGAUCAAUAAAUACAUUGAAUUGAAUAAAUAAAGAUUUGUCUCAUCUCCUCUUUAAAUGUUCACCCACGGGGGUUUCUAUGAAGAGGGAGAAGUAUGAUGCGCUAGCCUGGUCCCAGAUCUGUUUGUGC
Long non-coding RNA from Oncorhynchus tshawytscha (Chinook salmon), 1085 nucleotides. The record is from Ensembl. Lineage: Eukaryota; Metazoa; Chordata; Actinopteri; Salmoniformes; Salmonidae.